AUUGAACGCUGGCGGCAGGCCUAACACAUGCAAGUCGAGCGAGCGGCGGACGGGUGAGUAAUACGUGAGUAACCUGCCCUCCUUUUUGGGAUAAGCCUUUGAAACGGAGUCUAAUACCGAAUAAAGGGGGAUGGGCUCGCGGCCUAUCAGCUUGUUGGUGUGGUGAUGGCCUACCAAGGCGGUGACGGGUAGGCGGCAUGAGAGGGUGACCGGCAAAAUUGGGACGGAGAUAAGGCCCAGACGCCUACGGGAGGCAGCAGUUGGGGAUAUUGCACAAUGGGCGAAAGCCUGAUGCAGCGACGUCGCGUGGGGGAUGAAGGCUUUCGGGUUGUAAACAUCUUUCGCUAGCGAACGGGUAGGUGGAGAAGAAGCGCCGGCUAACUACGUGCCAGCAGCCGCGGUAAUUC
RNAcentral lists this ribosomal RNA (407 nucleotides) under uncultured bacterium. RNAcentral describes it as "partial 16S ribosomal RNA". It matches the Rfam family "Bacterial small subunit ribosomal RNA", at positions 30 to 526 of the family's 1533-position model. The record is from RNAcentral.